UAAUACGUAGGGGGCAAGCGUUGUCCGGAUUUAUUGGGCGUAAAGAGCUCGUAGGCGGUUCCGUAAGUCAGGUGUGAAAAAUCUGGGCUCAACCCAGUGGAGCACCUGAUACUGCGGUGACUCGAGUCCGGUAGGGGAGUGUGGAAUUCCUGGUGUAGCGGUGAAAUGCGCAGAUAUCAGGAGGAACACCGACGGCGAAGGCAGCACUCUGGGCCGGUACUGACGCUGAGGAGCGAAAGCAUGGGGAGCGAACAGGAUUAGAUACCCUGGUAGUCCAUGCCGUAAACGUUGGGCACUAGGUGUGGGACGGAGUCAACCCGUUCCGUGCCGUAGCUAACGCAUUAAGUGCCCCGCCUGGGGAGUACGGCCGCAAGGCUA
This 378-nucleotide ribosomal RNA is filed under the name uncultured bacterium. RNAcentral describes it as "bacterial SSU rRNA". It matches the Rfam family "Bacterial small subunit ribosomal RNA", at positions 521 to 896 of the family's 1533-position model. The record is from RNAcentral.